RNAcentral lists this unclassified non-coding RNA (302 nucleotides) under Agaricus subrufescens. RNAcentral describes it as "partial contains 5.8S ribosomal RNA, internal transcribed spacer 2, and large subunit ribosomal RNA". Lineage: Eukaryota; Fungi; Basidiomycota; Agaricomycetes; Agaricales; Agaricaceae. The record is from RNAcentral.
CGCAUCUUGCGCUCCUUGGUAUUCCGAGGAGCAUGCCUGUUUGAGUGUCAUUAAAUUCUCAACUCUCUUAUACUUUUUGUAAAAGAGAGCUUGGACUGUGGAGGCUUGCUGGCCACUUUUUGGGGUCAGCUCCUCUGAAAUGCAUUAGCGGAACCGUUUGCGAUCUGCCACAAGUGUGAUAAGUUAUCUACACUGGCGAGGGGAUUGCUCUCUGUAAUGUUCAGCUUCUAACUGUCUCUACUUUGUGAGACUACUUUUGAAUGCUUGACCUCAAAUCAGGUAGGACUACCCGCUGAACUUAA